GAUAAUUUAUUCUAAUGAGGUUAGGUAGUUGUUUUCAAUUAUUACCUUCUACAAACCACUAAUGAAAUGAAGUCAGUGUACAUCUUUAAAUAACCUUUAAUAUUUGUACAAGUAAAUACCCUCAUUGACGAUAAUGGAAAUUGUCAAAAAUUCUCAUUUUCUCGCUGUUUAGCUCACCCACAAUGGCUGUCAGCCAGCCAGGUGAUAGGCUGCAAGGCACAGCUAAUUGUUUCAUGAGAAGACAGUGUUUCAAAGGUAAGGCAAAGGAGGUGCAGACGCUAAUGAAGUUUAUUACUGGAACACGAAAUGAGGAUUGUGACAAGAGACAGUGGUGGCAGUGACAUGUAGUUAGAAUGUUAAAGCUUGUGAUGGCUCUGACUGAAUCACAGGGAGAGAGAGAAAUAUCAAGAAGUAUAGACUAAUGAAUACCCCUACACUGAAAAAGACCAGAUCACAGCUUCUCUGGCUAGAAAGAGCAGAAAAACAAAACAAAACAAAACAAAACAAAACAAAGCUAGUGGGCAAACAAAUAGGAAACAGGGACACAAAGAACAGAUCAGCCUGUAAAUAAAUCUGCCUGCCUUUGGCAUAUCUGAGCAGUGACGUCAGUGUGUUCCAAUGUCUAUUCUCAAAAGCAUCAUUGGAAGAGCUGGGUCACAAUUAUGCCAAGGUCUGCAAGCUUGAAAUUUCUCCCCAGUGAUUCGUAGCUAUUUUUGAGUGGGAGAAAGAAUAGAAAGAGAAAGAAAUAGAAAAGACAAGGUGAAUAGAGAAGAACCUCCCACACAUACCAGUCGUCAUGAAGUGACCGCUCAGAAUGGUUCAUUUUUCCAAACUCAGAAGAGAAAUGAUGGAUGAGACACAGAAAGCACCUGUUCUCUUAAAAUAUAUUCUGGUAAGGGUUGAAGACGCCACAAAACAAAAGGGAGUAGUGUCACAUGGCGCACCCUUGCAGUCUUAAAACUUGGGGGACCUGAGGGAAGAGAAUACGGAGCUGAAAGCUGGCCUUGGCUACAUAGGAAGACUGAAGAAUGAGGAAAAUGGGAAAUCUCAGAUAAUUCUAGAGACUGUGCAAUGCAUUAUGUAACAGCAUGAGGGAAAGUUUUUUGGGAAGUGUUAGUUUUUUAAUAGCGUGUGGUGAUUUUAUGCAAAAAUAUAUAAUUUCCAUUGGGAGCUGGUACCUAUAUCCCCUUCCCUUGCAUCUGGGUAGCAUGGCUCCUAUAGCUUUCCUAGAAGAAGGAGGUAGAGAGGAAGUGACUCUCACUUAGUAAACAUCGUAUGCAUUCUAGGAAUCUUCAGCUGAAUGUAAGUUGUCCAGCUGUCAGAGGCCAGCAUGUGGAGAGAGCAUGCUGAAGAAAUACAUAGCUAAUGAAGAUGUCCUAAGUAGCCAGCUGUGUUGGCUCCCAGAUGUUGGAGUCUUCCCAGCUUGGGUACCAGAUAUGUAUACAACAGAAUAGCCUUCAAAAUGUUCAUUGAAUGGUGACCCCACAGAACACCCAAACUCACAUAAUUUCUUUGCUUGAGCCCUUGUCUGGUCCUCAGAAUCUAGGUCACAUAAAUUAUCAUCCUUAUCUUAAGCUACCACUUGAGGGAAUAAUCUGCUACAUUGCCUCAAAGGACUGGACCAGUGAUGUACAAGAAGGCUGCUUGGAAGAAGUGCCAUUUGAGCUGGUGGCCUGGAUUAUAAAGGCAACAAGGGAUGAAGAAACUGUGCAACGUGAAGACAACUAGAAAUUCACAGGAAAAAAAGCAUAUCUGUAGCGCUGAUGUCGAACGCAGUGGAAAUGGUGUGAGGCAAGAGCUGGCAUGCAGUGGGAACCUAAGUUCAAAGGGUGUGUGGGUAGAGGGGACUCAGUCAAGAAACCCUCCACCGUGAUGCUGAGAGUGGCCGCAAUCCUCUCCCACAUUCCGUUUUGGAACCUUGGGGUAGUCGGAGCCCAUUUUGCAUUCUGUCCUACUGGUAUUGUUAAUGCACCACUAGAGAUCAAAUGGAGGACUUCAUGCAUGCUGAUCAGGAAUUUUCGAACUGAGCUACACUCCUCAGUGGUACUGGAUCAUACAGUUUACAUGAGCAGACUUUACAACGUGAAAAUCAUAUCUGAAUAAAGUUGUUAAAGAGACAACAAGAAAAACUGACAGAUGAUAGGAACCUAGCAUAACUGCAUCCUGAGAGGUUUCGUUCAUCCAGCAGCUGAUGGAAACAUAUGCAGAGACACAUAGCCAAAUAUCCAGCAGAGCUUGAGAAGUCCUAUGGAAAUGGGGAAGAAAGGAUUGAAGGAGCCAGAGAGGUCAAGGACACCACAAGGAAAUCCACAGAACCAACUAACCUUGGUGAAUAGGAGUUCAUAGAGACUGAACCACCAAAGAGCAUGCAUGGGACAGACCUGGGCCCUCUGCACAUAGGUAACAGCUGUGCAGCUUCAUCUUCAUAUGGGACUCAUAACAGCAGGAGCAGGGGCUGUCUCUAACUCUAUUGUCUGUCUUUGGAUUGCCUUCCCUAACUGGACUGCCUUGCCUAGCCACAAUAGGAGAAGUGCCUAGUCUUACUGCAACUUUGAUAAGCCAAGGUGGGUUAAUAUCCAUGGAGGCCUCCCUUUUUCUGAGGAGAAAUAGAGGACAGGAGGAUAAAGGGGAAGGGAGGGGAGGGGAGGAGAGGAGACUGGGAGGAGAGGAGAAAAGGGAAGCUGCAAUCAGGAUAUAAAGUAAGUAAAAUAAUUAAUAAAAAGAAUCAGAAAAAUGGUUAUUUAAUAAAAUACAGAGUAGGCAUGGUGGCACACGCUUUUUCAAUUUAUUUAUUUAUUUAUUUAUUUAUUUAUUUAUUACGUAUUUUCCUCAAUUACAUUUCCAAUGCUAUCCCAAAAGUCCCCCAUACCUUCCCCCUACUUCCCUACCCACCCAUUCCCAUUUUUUUUGGCCCUGGCAUUCCCCUGUACUGGGGCAUAUAAAGUUUGUGUGUCCAAUGGGCCUCUCUUUCCAGUGAUGGCCGACUAGGCCAUCUUUUGAUACAUAUGUAGCUAGAGUCAAGAGCUCCGGGGUACUGGUUAGUUCAUAAUGUUGUUCCACCUAUAGGGUUGCAGAUCCCUUUAGCUCCUUGGGUACUUUCUCUAGCUCCUCCAUUGGGAGCCCUGUGAUCCAUCCAAUAGCUGACUGUGAGCAUCUACUUCUGUGUUUGCUAGGCCUCAGCAUAGUCUCACAAGAGACAGCUAUAUCUGGGUCCUUUCAGCAAAAUCUUGCUAGUGUAUGCAAUGGUGUCAGUGUUUGGAAGCUGAUUAUGGGGUGAAUCCCUGGAUAUAGCAGUCUCUAGAUGGUCCAUCCUUUUGUCACAGCUCCAAACUUUGUCUCCUUCCAUGGGUGUUUUGUUCCCAAUUCUAAGAAGGGGCACAGUGUCCACACUUUGGUCUUCAUUCUUCUAGAGUUUCAUGCGUUUAGCAAAUUGUAUCUUAUAUCUUGGGUAUCCUAAGUUUUGGGCCAAUAUCUACUUAUCAGUGAGUACAUAUUGUGUGAGUUCCUUUGUGAUUGGGUUACUUCACUCAGGAUGAUGCCCUCCAGGUCCAUCCAUUUGCCUAGGAAUUUCAUUCUUUUUAAUAGCUGAGUAGUACUCCAUUGUGUAAAUGUACCACAUUUUCUGUAUCCAUUCUUCUGUUGAGGGGUAUCUGGGUUCUUUCCAGCUUCUGGCUAUUAUAAAUAAAGAUGCUAUGAAAAUAGU
Mus musculus (house mouse) is the source of this 3703-nucleotide long non-coding RNA. RefSeq annotates it as predicted gene, 39900. The transcript has 3 exons. The record is from RefSeq and is a predicted model, not a curated record. Lineage: Eukaryota; Metazoa; Chordata; Mammalia; Rodentia; Muridae.